UUUUUUUUUUUUUUGCUGAAUUUUUAAAAGGGAUAUUAGACUUUGUAAGGUAUACUAAAUAUCUUAGCAUUUAUUUCUAAAAAGUGAGGACAUUUUCUUAAGGACAAAAUUAUUUAUUAAAACAUACUAUAAUUUUAUCAAUGUCAUCUAACACCAUCCUAGUCUCAUUUACCUUUUCCUAGUUGUCUCAGGAUGCAUUUUAUGGUUGUUUUAGUCAAACGAUGAUCCAAUCAGUAUCCAUUCAUUACAUAUGAUUGUUCAGACUUUUAAGUCAUUUGUAAUUUAGACAAGUGCCCCAUUGCCCAACCUUCCCUUUUCAUCUCAUGAUGUUAAAUCUAGACGAUGGGCUUUAGAGAGUCUUUAUAAAUAUCUUUCUAUUCAUCUAUACAUGCAAAGUCCUGUUCACAGUAAAAAGUUUAAAAAAAUAAUCAAGGUAAAAUACUACAAAAGAUACUAAAAUUACAAGUGUAAAGCAAGGUAGCAUUGCUCAGUCCUUCCACAUUUCCUCUUCCUAUUUUUCUUGCUCACUCUUCCUUCCAUUUAUCUCAUAUCUUCACUCACAGAAUCCUAUUUUAUACACAGGACAUUGAUACAGGUUUUCUGGGUAUUAAAAGAACAAGGCAGUUCUCAUAUAUUCAACAAAUUUUUAAUUAGUACCCAACAUGUGGCUGGAAAAAUUCUUGGACCCAUGGAAGCCGUCUUAAAAUGAUAAUUUCCUAUUUUUCCCAGUCCAAACUCCUUCGUACCGUUGAUCCUUUAAUUUGUUACUGUUUUCUCCAUCUUCUUUGUGCAGCUACAAAGAAAUAUGGCUAUGUGGACAUGUACAACUGAAUCACUCUGCUGUACAGCAGAAAUUAUCACAACAUUAUAAAUCAACUAUAAUUCAAUAAAACUUAAAAAAAAAAAAGAAAUACGGCUAUAAGCAUAACAGUUUCCUGGCAUCUAAGAAGAGACCCCAACCCCAACACCAGAGAAACUUUUAGAACUCAUUGGAGUUCUCAAAGCCAGGUUAUAAUAAUUCUCUUAUUUGCUCCUUCUAAAAUCAAGCCUAUGAGCAAGCAGGCUAUCAAGAGUUUUAGCUCCAUUUUACAAUUAAGAAAACUGAAGCACAAAAAGAUUAGGUCUUAAUCGUCAGCCUCAGUGUUUUGUUUUGUUUUUUAAUCACUUCAUUUCUGUUGCAGAGAUUAACUAGCUAUUUUUUAAAUUUUAUUUUUAUUAAAGUAUGGUUGACUUUCCGAGUUGUGUCAAUUUCUGCGCUAGAGCUAUUAACUGAAAUACUUCUACACAAAUAGACAUUUCCCACCCUCCCUUGCUGUUACGUGUGAUCACAUAUCUGAGUUCUGCUCGAUGGAAUUCGAAGGGAAAUAUGUUAAACACCACUUAAUGUAUCUGGUUCUGAAGAGCUUCCAAUAAAAGCCUCCAUGCAUUAUCCAUUUGUUUGUUCCACCAGUUAACAUUACCCUAACUUACAAUCAUUUCCUAUCACUUCUGUGUCUCUGUUUCUCCUUUUCCCCAAACAUUCUACACUUUGCCUUCCUUCCUUCCUGGUGACAUUUUCUUUUUUGGAGAUGCACCAACCUUCACAACUCACAUAAAAUGAGCCCUAUGUAUUCCAUGAUCCCUUCCCCCACAAAUCCUUCAAGUGCUCCGUCUCUAAAUAUCCAUACCAUCAACAAUCAGUAUACAAUUCGCUACCUGAUGAAAGUGGAGAAUGUUGGUCAUAUAUAUUGGGUUUCACUCAAACCUUAUUGUCUUAUUUUACCACAUACCCCAUGAUACCCCAUGAAGUACGGAAUAUAAAGUAAGAACUUAAUACAUUGCUGCUAGUUAAUAGAGUCAUAUUGGUUUGAUAAGCAACAUUAAAAAUGUCUGACCAUUUCCUGCCUAAUUUAUAAAUUUCUAUUAUUUACUGAGGACAUAUGAUGAGUUUGGCAUCGCUUUAGAAACCAAGACCAAAGUAAGCACACCACCUCAUUAAUCUUUCCUUCAGAGUAAAUGUCCUUUCGCUUUUUUCACACCAGAGCUUUUCUCCUAGAUUUGGCUGCUUUCUAAGCAUUUGACUGGGAAUAGAAGUUUGUUGAAUAAACCAAGCCUUCCAUUCAGAUCAUUUGAUGUUCAAAUCCUGCCUCCUUCAUUUAUAUGCUUUGUAACUUAGGAUAAUAUCCUUAUUUUCCCAAUACCUCUAAUUGUGCCACCAUAAAACACAGAGAGAGUCCUGUAUAACUUACAAGGUUGCCAUGACAAUGUUAUAAAUAUCAUAUAUAAAAACAGUGCCUAACCCUAAAUAAAUCUAGCAGAGGCUCAGAAAAUGUUAGUUCCCCCUUAGUGUGGCUCAGUCAUUUUUGGAGAAGACGGUAUCUAAAAUUACAUUUGAGGGGGAGUAGGUGACCAUCCCAGAGAACCAGGGUACCACUCUGCCUUGUAUAUAUGAAUUCCCCCAAAGUCCCAUAGCUGGAAGAUUUGCAGAGAAAAGAUGGAUGCAGAGAAUUUAUAUAGACCUUUUAUUCAGGAGGAGGACAGAGGAAAACUGUUGUUCUAUUAGAUAGGAGAAGCGGUAGGAAACUGACAUUAUUCUUAAAUCUUUGCAUCUCUUUUUCAUUUACUUAGUCCUUUUGCCUUAAAAAGCAAAUUAAUAACAGUUUCAGCUUGUUUCAUCCCUAUGUCUUGAUGAUUAUGCAGUGUGUGAAAUUUCCAUACUUCUAAAUGAGACGAUUUUAGACGAAUAUGAAAACACAGCAUUCAGGCUCUGAGCAGCACUGCACCAAGCCAGAAUGGGGGAGAAGUAACUAAACAGCUGCACGUGUGAGAGGGAUUAGCGAUUUUAGUUGACUGCCAGCCCAAUAUGAGUCACCAGUGUGUUGAUGCUGCCAAGAGGAUAAUUUGAUCUGGAGCUGAAUUAACAGGACUGCAGUGUCCAGACCAAAGGGAGUGAUACUCCUGCUGUCUGGGCAAGAGUCAGACCACACCUAAUGUGCUGCAGCUCUUGUUUAUCCCAAAUACCCAUUCCUUUACAGUGUACUGUACAAAGAGGAGUUUACUGUAUUAUGGGAAUGAGUCGUCUGAUACCUAUAUUCAAAAAUGCAAUCCUUUACCUUAUCUCUGAAUUCACCACACAAGCUGUGUUGUCAUUUUGUAUGUGGAUGUUUGUAUCUUUGAGGCUAGGAAAGUGUCCUUCCCUUUUAUGUAUCUUAUAGUAUAAAUGGGGCAGAAACUUUCUAUUUCUUCCUUUUGAAGAAAAUGGAUUAGUUUCUAGAAGGAGUGUCUACUGUACUGACUUGAACAAAGUAGUCAAAGAGAACUAGCUUCAAAUUCUGUUUAAACUAUCAUGAACAAGAAAAAAAAAUUGUUCCUCUAGUGUUCAGUUCUACAUCUGGGGGUUAAAGUGUUUUUCUCUAUGCUCCUCUGUACCUCCAACCUAUCAGACACCAACCAUCCUUAUGUUCCUUUUAUACAAGACUGUGAGCACCGAGUGUUGGGAGUUACGUCUUCAUAAUAAAGCAAUUUUGAAAGUUAGCGAAUAGGGAAUAGGGCAAUGCAGGGGUGGGAAGAGCCCUACCUUGGUAGGAUAACAUACCAAGGUAGGAGGAUUUAGGGAAUGUGAUAAAGAAUCAGGCUCUGGGGAUUAGAGAGAAAUCUCACUUCAAGUCAGCAGAGUUAAAGCAGAGGAAUUCAUGCCUGGAAAUGAGGUCGAAUAUAAAACCCAUCAAAAUAGCCUCCUUAUCCUCCACUUCACUCCAGCUAUUAAUCUGAACAUGGAGUGGUACUAACAGCCAAAUGAGCAGUGAGAGAAGCCAACAGCAAUUUACACAGAGAUUUACUGACAAAUAUCAUGUCUGCAUAGAUCUUUCUUUCUUUCAAAAUUAAUAACAAACAAACAAAAAGACAAAAACUGAUCCCAACAUUAGAAACCAUGGGGCCAAUAAAUAUAUGGAAAGGGAAGAAGUAUUAUUAUUCUGAAGACUCAGAAGAAAGUCCUUCUUCUAAAAUACAUUUUAUUUGGAAAGCAAAAGGAAAUCUUAAAAUCUUACAAGACGUGAGAGAUUCUUUGUGAAAUAGGAGCAAAAAUUCUAAGGGGAUAAUAUUUAAGGAAAAGAAAUAAAAGAAUGAGAAAAAAAGACACCACACUUAGAUAAUAAAGGAACAAGGUGAAAUGCAAAUAAAAUCAAGAUAGUUACAUUAAUACACACAAUAGAAACAGCAAAGAGUACAACAAACAUUUGGGGGGGGGGGGGUUGGUCAGAGAGGUUCUGACCAAGAUAAAUCAGGGAUGAGAAAGACAAAUGUGAGAAUUUUCAGGAAUGAAAGAAAAAAAGACAAAAGAUGAAAAUGAUAUAAGAGUGAAGGUGAUGGUCCUAAAAGACAAAGAACACAGACUUAGGCUAAGAAUACAGUUAUUGGGAGUUCCCAUCAUGGCUCAGUGGUUAAUGAAUCCGACUAGGAACCAUGAGGUUGCGGGUUCAAUCCCUGGCCUUGCUCAGUGGGUUAAGGAUCAGGUGUUGCUGUGAGCUGUGGUGUAGGCUGCAGACAAGGCUCGGAUCCCGAGUUGCUGUGGCUCUGGCGUAGGCCGGUGGCUAAAGCUCCAAUUAGACCCCUAGCCCGGGAACCUCCAUAUGCCUCAGGAUCGGCCCUAGAAAAGGCAAAAAGACAAUAAAUAAAUAAAUUUAAAAAAAGAAUAGAGUUAUUAACACUGUGGUAAUAGAAUGAUCUUAGAAGAGUUGAGAUAAUCAAUGAUACAAUUGAAGAAAAAUUUCCUUCAAUGAUUAAGACCUGAAUAAGCAGUUUGAAAAAGAUCAUCACAUUCCAAGAGAAAGUAAUUUUAAAAAUUUCUAAACUAGUGUGUGUGUGUGUGUGUGUGUGUGUGUGUGUGUAGUUUUUUUUAGGGCCAUACCCAUGGCAUAUAGAGGCUCCCAGGCUAGGGGUGGAAUCAGAGCUGCAACCUCCAGCCUACGCCACAGCCACAGCAAUGCUGAGUGCAACCUACACCACAGCUCAUGGCAAUGCUGAGUCUUUAACCUAAUGAAUGAGGCCAGGGAUUGAACCUUUGUCUUUCCACUAAGCCAUGAUGGGAACUCCUAGUUUUUGUACUUUAAGAAUAAAAAAUAGGAGAUUUCUGGUGGCUCAGCAGAUUAAGGAUCCAAUGUCGUCACUGCUGUGUGGCAGGUUCUAGUCCUGGCCCUGGAAUUUCUGCAUGCUGCUGAUAUGGCCUCAUAAUAAUAAUAAUAAUAAUAAUAAUAGAAAAAUAGUAUCAAUCUAUAAAACCUGAGCUGAGGGAAGAUGUCUCAGGAAAAACAAACUGCAAACUGUUAGACAUCUGCGGAGGAACUCUACUGAAAAUGAGGUUGGCAAGGUCUAUAAUUGAAGAAAGUCAAGGAAAUUUAAAAGCCCUACUAUGAGGAAUAAAAGAAAAGCCUGACUAGAAGCGUAUGAAAAGCCCACCUGAAACUUCUGAUCAUCUUGACUGGGUCAAUUAUACUUAUAAAGGUUAUCACAGGUUCCAUAGUACCAUACCUUAUCAAAAAUGUUUACAUACAUAUUUACACACACACACACACAUAUGUGAAAAUAUAUAUUUAAUAUUUAUUUUCCCUCCCCCAAUAGCCUAUGUGUUUGUGUAUAUUGUGUGCCUGGCAUAUAGAAUAUUAUAGAAGGCAUGAAUAUUAAACAAACAACUGAAUGACUGAAUGCAUAGAGUUGCCAAGAAGUGUGGAAUUCAUGAACAGAGCUCACAAUAUGAAAAAUUAAAACUUUUGAAUUCAUCUGCUGGUUAUGGUGGAGUGACUGGUACUAGACUUGUUUUCCUUCUGUAAACAAAUAGAAAGAUGGAAAAAAAUACCUAGGACAAAUAUUUUCAGACACUAGGCAACAGGUGGUGCAGGACUGUGAUCUAUGGGAGAUGGAAAACAAGACAGGUAACCGUUCUGAUUACUGUGACAUUCUGCCUGAAGGCCUUUUCAGACCACCAUUACAUUGAAUGGUGAAAUUACAUUCAUUUGCAUAAAUUUACAUAAAUCACAUUGAAAUUACAUACAUUUAAUACCAUAAAAAGCCUACCCAUGAAAAAAUGCACUCUGAUAACUUCAUUGAUGAAUUCCAUCAAUGUUUUAAAGAAGAAAUAAUAUCAAUCCUUAUACGUUCUUUUGUAAAAUAAGAUAAUAGCAACUUUUAUGAGUUCAGCAUUAUUCUGAUAUCCCAGAAAUGGAUAUUACUUAAAAAACAAAGCAAAACACAAUAAACCAACAAAAUACUGUAGACUGAUAUAUCUCAUAAGCAUACACAGAAAUAUCCUUUAAAACACAGAAAAUUGAUUGAAUUUAACAACAUACAAAAUAAAUACUAUAUUAUGAACACAUGUAGUUUAUCCCAGGAAUGCACAAUUUCAUUUAUCAUUUGAAUUCAGUAAAUAUAAUUCACCAUAGUAACAGAAUAAAGGAGAAAAAUCAUACGAUCUUUCCAUUAGAGGCAGAAAAAGUAUUUUUCAAAUUCAACACAUAUUCAUGAUUAAAAAAAAAACUCAGUAAACUAGAUCUCAGUCAACUUCCUCAGUGUAAAGAAGAGUAUUUACAAUAAACCUGCAUUGUGUUUAACCAUGAAAGACUAAAUUUCUUAAAUUUUUUAAGAAAAAGGUUUGUUGCUAUCAACACUUCUACUGAACCUUAUAUGAGAAGCCCUAGCCAGUGCAAUGAAGCAGGAAAAAUAUUGGAAUCAUACAGUAAGUAGCCUCUUCAGAUUCUCUUUCAACUUAGUAAUAUGCAUCUAAGUUUCCUCUGUAUCUUUUUCUGUCUUGAUAGCUCAUUUUCUUUUAGUGCUGACAAUUUUAGUUGUCCAGAUGCAUUACGGUUUAUUGAUUUAUUCUCCUACUAAAGGGUAUCUUGGUUCUUCCAAGUUUUGGUAAUUGUGAAUAAAACUGCUAUCAACAUCUAUGUACAGGUUUUUGUGUAGAUAUCAGUCUUCAGCUUCUUCGGGCUAAUACCAAGGAGUCUGAUUACUAGAUAGCAUAAGAUUGUUUUUAUUUACUUUUUUUUUAAGGGCCACACCUGCAGCAUAUGGAAGUUCCCAGGCAAGGGGUUAAAUCAGAGCUGUAGCUGCUGGCCUACUGAGCAAGGUCAGUAGGUUAAACUUGAGUCUUAAUGGAUACUAAUGGGGUUCAUUACCCUUGAGCCAUGACGGGAGCACCAAAUUAUUAUUUUUUUUUUCAUUUUAUGGCCACACCAUGGCAUAUGGACUUUCCUGGGCCAGAGAACGAAUCUGAGCCACAGAUGUGACCUAUGCCACAGCUGUGGCAAUGCCGGAUCCUUUGACCCACUGGGGAUCGAACCACCCCUCCACAGAAAUUCAAGCCUCUAUAGUCAGAUUUUUAACUGCUGCAUCAUGGCAGAAACUUCAAGAGUGUUUUUAGAUUUGUAAGAAACCACCAGACUAUUUUUCAAAGUGACCGUACCAUUUUGCAUUCCACCAGCAAUGAAUGAGAAUUCCUGUUCUUCCACAUCCUUGUCAGCACUUGACAUUGUCAGUGUCCCAGGUUUUCAUUCUAAUACAUGAACUUUUUGGAGGGAGCCAUGACCAUGGUAUGCAGAAAUUCCCUGGUCAGAGAUCAAAUCUGCACCACAGCAGUAACCUGAGCCACAGCAGUCAGUGACAAUGCCAAUCCUUAAGCAUUAGGCCACCAGGGAACUUCCUGAGCUUUUUUUUUUUUUUUUUUUUUUUUUUUUAGAUAAUGCAUUCUUCCUCUAAAAAGUACAUCUAAAAAUUAGGAAAAAUCCAUUUCCUGGCCAUGGAUCCCAAUUUCGAACUUAUGAAACAUUGUAAUUGUAAAGAAUAUUGUGCUUCCUAGUUUUGACUGACAUGUAUUGAUGGACAUCUGAAUGUGUAAUAAAUAGCUCUUUGCCCUUGUGGAAAAAAAAAA
Molecule: long non-coding RNA, 7903 nt
Filed under: Sus scrofa (pig)
Lineage: Eukaryota; Metazoa; Chordata; Mammalia; Artiodactyla; Suidae
Description: lncRNA (ENSSSCG00065019602.1)
Source: RNAcentral